UAUAUAUACAACAUUUCAAAACAUAUAUUUAAAAAUUCAACCUCAAAACACUCAUUAAGAUAAUUCUUGGAACGAAAAUGAAAGGUUCGAAAAAAAUAUUCUAGGAAUUUUGCAAACCACAACCCAGGAACUGCAGUACCUCAGAACCACAGAAUAUUCCAGUUGGCCAGGGACCUCAGAGGCCCCGGUAAGUCUGACUUCCUUCCUGAGUCCAGCCUUUGUGUCCUCAGCUGGAAUACCUCUGCAACUGGAGCCUCACGACCUCUCCAGAGGGCCUGUUUCCUGCUCCCAUUCAAGAGAAUUUGAAGAACCUUCCAGAUCCCCAACUUACGGAUGGCACCAUCGUCCCUGCGCCAAAGACCAGGAUGCUGACCUCCCAGACCCCUCCCUGCCACCCCAAAAGCCCCACAGCCCAGCUUUCAUCUCCUACCUGGUCCCCCGCCUCCAGUCCUGCCCCCUUGUAUCCUCCUCAAGGUAGCAAAGCAGCCUUUCCAGAACCCAGAUCUCAUCUGUUUCUCUCCUGCUCUAAACCAGGGUCUCUCCACUUCAACACUGUUGACAUUUGAGGCCAGAUCAUUCCCUGGGGUGGGGCCAUCCUGGGCAUGGUGGGGUGUGGAGCAGCCUCCCUGGCCCCACUCACUCCAUGCCAGGAUCCCUACCAGUCGUGACAACCAAAUGUCCUCGGACUCCACUCAGUAUGCCCUUGGGGGGUACAACCACCCCCAUGAGAACUGCUCUAAAGGCUUCUAGGCCCCCCAGUGCCCUUGAAAUGAAGCCCCCUCCCUUUCACUUCCACCCCUGGCAUCUGCACAUGCUGUUCCCUCUGCCUGGAAGCCCUUUCUCCUGCUCCCAGUAAUCUGCACAGUUAUUCCCAGAAACCUCUCAGACAUCUCCUCCAGGAAGACCUCCCAGAUCAGCCCAGACUGACUUCCUCCAGACUCCUGGAGCAACCCCCACGAGUGCCCGCUUACCCUGUCUUCUAAACGCCUGAUUGUCUGUUCAUCUUCCCCACUGGACUCUGAGACCCCCGAGAGGGCAGGGCUCAGUCUGUCUUGAUCACCAGUGUGUCCCCACCACCCAGCACAAGGCCUGGCAUAUAGGAGAAGCUCAAUGAAUAAUAAAAGUAGCAAACACCAA
Phacochoerus africanus (Common warthog) is the source of this 1137-nucleotide long non-coding RNA. RefSeq lists it as uncharacterized. Lineage: Eukaryota; Metazoa; Chordata; Mammalia; Artiodactyla; Suidae. The transcript is spliced from 2 exons. The record is from RefSeq and is a predicted model, not a curated record.